AACGAACGCUGGCGGCAUGCCUAACACAUGCAAGUCGAACGAGACCUUCGGGUCUAGUGGCGCACGGGUGCGUAACGCGUGGGAACCUGCCCUUAGGUUCGGAAUAACCCCCCGAAAGGGGUGCUAAUACCGGAUAAUGUCUUCGGACCAAAGAUUUAUCGCCUUUGGAUGGGCCCGCGUUGGAUUAGCUAGUUGGUAGGGUAAAAGCCUACCAAGGCGACGAUCCAUAGCUGGUCUGAGAGGAUGAUCAGCCACACUGGGACUGAGACACGGCCCAGACUCCUACGGGAGGCAGCAGUGGGGAAUAUUGGACAAUGGGCGAAAGCCUGAUCCAGCAAUGCCGCGUGAGUGAUGAAGGCCUUAGGGUUGUAAAGCUCUUUUACCCGGGAUGAUAAUGACAGUACCGGGAGAAUAGGCUCCGGCUAACUCCGUG
This 433-nucleotide ribosomal RNA is filed under the name uncultured bacterium. Its description in RNAcentral is "partial 16S ribosomal RNA". It matches the Rfam family "Bacterial small subunit ribosomal RNA", at positions 29 to 507 of the family's 1533-position model. The record is from RNAcentral.